UCUGAUUCCCUUCUGAGGUCCUCUCAGUCGUCGCGCUCCGAGUGGUAACCUGAGUCUGGGCACGGCGGGCACUCACGGUGAGGAAGCCCCCACCCUCUGGCGCACACCGGGCGUGUGGAGCCUGGAGCUCAGGCCUGUGUAGGCGUGUAUAAGAGUGUGUGAGCGGUUGUGGCAGUAACGAGGCGGGGUGUGUGUGCGGUGAUGAGGCCGUGUCUGGUGCAAGAUGCGGGACCCUUUGGGUGACCGUGAUCGGCUGUGAUGUUGAGGUAGGUGACACUGUGGGGCUUGAGACCGCCCUUCAGAAGACGAUGCUGUUGUUACCUAGUAUGGUGGAAGAGGCUUUUAAUUUUGUGACCGGGUGGGAGUUUGGUUGUGUCACGGGGUAGAGCUUUAUUUCUGCAGUUCUGGUUUAACGUCGGGACUGAGGCGAUCUGUUGAAGAUCUCCCUGAGAGUGUAUCUGUGCCUGUCAAGACGACGAUGCCUGUAUUAACCAGAGUUGCACUGAAGCACGGCCUGAGCUGCUUUUGUCAGCACCUCCACCUCCAGUGCCCAGACUCCAGUGCUUAACGCGAAAGUGGGUAUCAGUGGAGUGAGUGUUGCCUGCCUAGGGGCCAAUUUUAGGUUCUAUUGUUUCUUAGUAUCUGUAUCCUUUUAUCACUGCUUUCUCUUUUCUCCCACUUUAUAGCCAGGACAACAGCUGCAAAGAAAUGGUCACAAAAAGGGGAGUCAGAUAUUUGAGUGGUGGGAUAAAGGUUAUAUACAAGCAAGAAAGCACAAACCUGUUUUUGGAAUGAGUUUUGGGGCUGGGAGUGUCCCUUAGGCAGAGUCCUAGGAAGACCUGUAGAGAGCCUAGGAGUAGGAUUCCUUCCUCAGAGGAUCUCUUUUGGGAGCUGAGGUCAAGUUCCAUGUUUCAGAACCACAUCAUUUCCAAAGCUGUCUCCCCAGGAAACUUGCUGUGAACUUAGAGAAAGUUUCAGCUCUGGUUAUCAGUGACCCUGGCCUUUCCCUUUGAUACUAAGGAAGGUUAGUAGUACUCCCAUCUCCCCUUUACUUCCAUCUGAGUAUGUGUGUGGUAGAUGACUGAGCUUGGGUGGUGUUGAAGAAUUUCUUCCAGUUUAGCCAGUUCAUGCUCUAAGAAAGGUCUGGUGUCUCAUGAGUCCUUACUUCCCUUCUCUUCACCCUUCCCCUGCAGUGCAGCUCUCUGAAAGAAAAGCCCUGGGGAAAGGAAAACGUUACAGAGCAUACCUGAAAACCAAGCUCAAGGUCAGGGAUUUUGUUGUUGUUAUUCUCUUUGUUUUAGUUUUUCAGAAAAGGGAAGUAUUUGCUCUCCUUCUCCUGAAAUGGUUAGGUUACAAUCAGGCAGGGCCUUGUGAUGUACUUCGACUAAUAAAAUGUGGUGGAAGUGAGACUUUCAAGAUAAAGCCUUAGGAGGUCUUGCAGCUUUUGCUCUUUCCCUCUUCCUGCCUUGAGACCACCAGGUACUAAAGGCUAAGACUAGCUUGCUUGAAGACAAAAGAUCACUUGGAGACAGAGGCCAAGCUAACAACAACAACUGCCAGAUGUUUCAUUGAGACCAUUUGGUCCCUCCAGCCCCCACCAAGCCACCAGCUGGCUGCUGUCACCUGAGUGAGAUCAGCAGAAGCACCACUCAGCCAAGCCAAGCCCGAAUUGCCAACCCCCGGAAUGAUGAGCUAAUUAAUGGUUUUGUUUUAAGCCACAAACUUUUGGGGGUGGUUACAUAGCAAUAGAUAUCUGAAACUGCUGUUUAAACUUCUAGACAUUUUCUAUCACCCUAUACUGAUAUAAUUGUAUUGGUCAACCUGCUUUGUUAACUGAUUUCUCUACUGAUGUUAUACCUUGAAAAUAUUCCAUAUCCUAAAUUUUCUACAACUUUGCAUCUA
Phocoena sinus (vaquita) is the source of this 1902-nucleotide long non-coding RNA. NCBI's taxonomy places the organism in Eukaryota, Metazoa, Chordata, Mammalia, Artiodactyla, Phocoenidae. The record is from Ensembl.